Molecule: ribosomal RNA, 776 nt
Filed under: uncultured Neocallimastigales
Lineage: Eukaryota; Fungi; Neocallimastigomycota; Neocallimastigomycetes; Neocallimastigales
Description: partial large subunit ribosomal RNA
Rfam family: Eukaryotic large subunit ribosomal RNA
Source: RNAcentral
GUACACGCUGUGACUAGCAUAUCAAUAAGCGGAGGAAAAGAAACUAACAAGGAUUCCCCUAGUAACGGCGAGUGAAGCGGGAAGAGCUCAAAUUUGAAAUCUUAAAGGGUUUCCCUUUACGAAUUGUAGUUUAAAGAAGUGUUUUCUGUUGAGGUUUUGGUAAAAGUUCUUUGGAAUAGGGACAUCAUAGAGGGUGAGAAUCCCGUAUUUGAUCCUUUACUUUCAACUUUGUGAUACACUUUCAAAGAGUCGGAUUGUUUGGGAAUGCAGUCCAAAAUGGGUGGUAAAUUUCAUCUAAAGCUAAAUAUUGGCGAGAGACCGAUAGCGAACAAGUACCGUGAGGGAAAGAUGAAAAGAACUUUGAAAAGAGAGUUAAACAGUACGUGAAAUUGUCAAAAGGGAAGCGUUUGACACCAGUGUUGUUUUUCUGAAAAUCAAUUAAAGAACUGUUUAUGCUAAGCUGUUUAGACUUUAUCAGCUAACUGUUUAGUUUUGAGCUUUUCUUUAAUGCACUUUUCAGUUAACAAGUCAACAUCAAUUUCUUUUGCUGUAAAAAAGCUUGAGGAAGGUGGCUUGAGAUUCGUCUUAAGUGUUUAUAGCCUCUUGCCUAUGCAGUCGGAGAGAUUGAGGUCUGCAGCGUAGAUCCUUCGGGGCUAAAUGCAUUUGUGCUAAGUUAUAGCAUUUUAUAGACAACUUGUUGACUAUGAUUUGUCUUGUAGCUUACUCGCUUAUGUUAUUUUACCUACGCUUAGGAUGUUGAGUCGUAGAGCACGCAG